This 249-nucleotide long non-coding RNA is filed under the name Ananas comosus (pineapple). RNAcentral describes it as "long non-coding RNA (ACOM_LNC012073)". Lineage: Eukaryota; Viridiplantae; Streptophyta; Magnoliopsida; Poales; Bromeliaceae. The record is from RNAcentral.
CCGACGAUCGCAGUAAAAGUAUCGCGCCAUGGACAGUGACUGCCCGAGUCAGUUCCAUAUUUAUUUAGUUGCAUUCCCCAUAUAUCAUCUUUUGUAUUUGAUGAUAUUAGUAUUAUAAAUGUAACAAAUGAUGUAAAAGUUUAUAUUUUGAAAAAUCAUGUGAUGUAAAAGAAAUGAUGAAAAGAAUGUAAAUGUAAAGGUUGAAUGCAUGUAUGUGGUUAAAAGUUAAUCAUUAUACUUGUAUGGAUG